GAUGAACGCUGGCGGCGUGCCUAAUACAUGCAAGUCGAGCGAACAGACGAGGAGCUUGCUCCUCUGACGUUAGCGGCGGACGGGUGAGUAACACGUGGAUAACCUACCUAUAAGACUGGGAUAACUUCGGGAAACCGGAGCUAAUACCGGAUAAUAUAUUGAACCGCAUGGUUCAAUAGUGAAAGACGGUUUUGCUGUCACUUAUAGAUGGAUCCGCGCCGCAUUAGCUAGUUGGUAAGGUAACGGCUUACCAAGGCAACGAUGCGUAGCCGACCUGAGAGGGUGAUCGGCCACACUGGAACUGAGACACGGUCCAGACUCCUACGGGAGGCAGCAGUAGGGAAUGGUCCGCAAUGGGCGAAAGCCUGACGGAGCAACGCCGCGUGAGUGAUGAAGGUCUUCGGAUCGUAAAACUCUGUUAUUAGGGAAGAACAAAUGUGUAAGUAACUAUGCACGUCUUGACGGUACCUAAUCAGAAAGCCACGGCUAACUACGUG
RNAcentral lists this ribosomal RNA (497 nucleotides) under uncultured bacterium. RNAcentral describes it as "partial 16S ribosomal RNA". It matches the Rfam family "Bacterial small subunit ribosomal RNA", at positions 28 to 507 of the family's 1533-position model. The record is from RNAcentral.